Felis catus (domestic cat) is the source of this 85-nucleotide transfer RNA. It matches the Rfam family "tRNA". From Rfam's summary of the family: Transfer RNA (tRNA) molecules are approximately 80 nucleotides in length. Their secondary structure includes four short double-helical elements and three loops (D, anti-codon, and T loops). The record is from Rfam. Lineage: Eukaryota; Metazoa; Chordata; Mammalia; Carnivora; Felidae.
GCCUGGGUGGCUCAGUCGGUUGAGCAUCCGACUUCGGCUCCGGUCAUGACCUCACGGUUCGUGGGUUCGAGCCCCGCGUCAGGCU